AUUGAACGCUGGCGGCAUGCUUUACACAUGCAAGUCGAACGGCAGCACGGGUGCUUGCACCUGGUGGCGAGUGGCGGACGGGUGAGUAAUACAUCGGAACGUAUCCUGAAGUGGGGGAUAACGCAUCGAAAGAUGUGCUAAUACCGCAUAUACUCUGAGGAGGAAAGUAGGGGAUCGAAAGACCUUAUGCUUUUGGAGCGGCCGAUGUCUGAUUAGCUAGUUGGUAAGGUAAUGGCUUACCAAGGCAACGAUCAGUAGUUGGUCUGAGAGGACGACCAGCCACACUGGGACUGAGACACGGCCCAGACUCCUACGGGAGGCAGCAGUGGGGAAUUUUGGACAAUGGGCGCAAGCCUGAUCCAGCAAUGCCGCGUGAGUGAAGAAGGCC
This 388-nucleotide ribosomal RNA is filed under the name uncultured bacterium. Its description in RNAcentral is "bacterial SSU rRNA". It matches the Rfam family "Bacterial small subunit ribosomal RNA", at positions 30 to 416 of the family's 1533-position model. The record is from RNAcentral.